Vespula vulgaris is the source of this 1870-nucleotide long non-coding RNA. RefSeq lists it as uncharacterized. The transcript has 3 exons. The record is from RefSeq and is a predicted model, not a curated record. NCBI's taxonomy places the organism in Eukaryota, Metazoa, Arthropoda, Insecta, Hymenoptera, Vespidae.
UCCUGAAAUUUUUCGAAACGUGUUGAAACGUUUACUACGUUUCAUUUUCGUUUUCUACGUUCAUGUUUCGAUUGAAUCACUUUAAUUUCUUUUCUUAAGAUAAUAGCAUUCGUUGUUUCUCAACUCGUUGAUCUUGUCGUUUCUAAUUUUUUGUAUGUUUAUAUUUUUGUAUUUCUUUAUUUCUUCUUCUUUCCCUUUCUCAUCCAUCGCCCGACAAAAAAUUAAACAGGACGACAGAGAGUUAUUCUCCCAAGUAAAAUGUGAAAUAUAUAAAUGUUGAGUUUCAGUUACCGAGACAAGAUAAACAUUUUUAAUAUACAAGAAUAUGGUGUAUCGUAAUAACGUGAAAAUGAAUGUAAGGAGUUUGUUUAUGAAAAAUAACAAGACGCAUGGACGUAGUAGAUUUUGGAUGAAAAGAAAAUCUAAAGGGAUGGACCAGACUGAGAGACGAGAACGAACAGAGAGAAGAAGGAACGCUUAUUGGACGUUAUUAAAUAUAAUGCCGCAAGGCAUGUCCCCCUUCGAAGAAACUUUUCCGAUAACUUCGUAAUUCCCUAAAAGGAUCCUCGUUCGAAGACUUUUAAGAUGUUCCUCUCUACUCUUCGCGAUAUUUCCCAUCGACUACGACCCGUUGCCCUUUCGAAGGGACUUCUCGUUCUCCGGAACAACGGGCUAUUAUGGGUUCUUUUUAUCGACGUCAAAUUCCAUUGACUUUUCACCCACAAAAGAAUGCUCAUCACGAUCACUUUUACCGAUUGAACAUAUUCGACUGACCCUAAAGAUUUUCAAAUAUUAAUCAAAUCUUUCUCUAGUUCUAGAAGAACGCGAUCUUAUUUUAUACACGUUUUAAACAAGUGACAUGUUUUUUUUUCUUUUUCUUUAUUUCCUUCUAAAUUUUUAAGACAGUUUUGAUAAUCGAAAGAAAAUUUUUGAAACUAAGAUUUGAAACGAUUUACAUGGUUCUAUCAGUGAUCCCUCAGGUGUUUAGAGCUUUUCAGUAUACUGCGGAGAAAGUUAGGAUGUUACCGGUGCGGUUAUUUCAUUACGAAGAUACGGACGUGGACUGUUGACAUGGUAUGGUACAGGUCCUGGUAAACGAGACAUCCGUAUUCAUGAUCGACGAGAUAGGAUGAGCGUGAUGUAAUCGUGCAAAUUCUUGCCGAGGGCGAAGCAAAUAUAGCAUUGUCCAACUACCUCGUCGGACAUGCUUGGAUUUACGGAUUCUAUGUUCGAAUGGUACUAUUUGGAUCCUGUAUAUCGUUUCUUUUUUCUUUUCUCUCUCUCUCUCUAUCUCUCUUUUUUUUUCAUUGAAAUUGUGUAUUUUUGACAGCAGGGCUAUUAAGAGUAUGAACUUGUUUAGGGACAUAACGUGUAUAUAUAUUAUUUAUAGUUUGAUAUUUGAUGAUUAAUUAGAAUAAAAUUUGUUGUUUAACUAAUUUUCAUUUUUGCGAUUACGAAUUAAAUAUAUAUUUCUUGGAAUUUUAUUUGACAAGUCCUACGUAAGCCGACGAUGAUUAUAUGAAGCAAUAAGAAUGUGAAAUACGGUGACUUCGAACAUCCUUUUUUUAUGGUUACUACUCCAACGUCGCAAAACUCCUUUUCUACAAAUUAUAUAGGUCGACGUAAAAAUUUCUCUUUCGUAGAAGUUAUGUCCAAGUAAGCUGAUAAAAAAUCGAUUUUACAGGUCGAAGAUACAAGUUUUCAACUUGUAAAAAUAAUUAUACUUCAUACAAAUAAGAAUGUUCAAUAUAACGUAUUCUUUUAUUUUUUGUUUUUUUUUUUAUAAAUAAUUGUGAAUUAUGCAUAUAGAAUAUACCUAAAAUUUAAGAAAAUUAUUAUAACAUCUUUAAAUAAUUAUUGAUUAAUUUUU